RNAcentral lists this ribosomal RNA (200 nucleotides) under Enterococcus faecalis. RNAcentral's name for it is "partial 23S ribosomal RNA". It matches the Rfam family "Bacterial large subunit ribosomal RNA", at positions 1432 to 1626 of the family's 2925-position model. The record is from RNAcentral. Lineage: Bacteria; Bacillati; Bacillota; Bacilli; Lactobacillales; Enterococcaceae.
GAUAUUCCUGUACCAGUUGUUUUUGUUUGAGCAAUGGAGGGACGCAGUAGGCUAAGGAAUGCAUGCGAUUGGAAGUGCAUGUCCAAGCAAUGAGUCUUGAGUAGAGUUAAAUGCUUUACUCUCUAAGGACAAGUUGUGACGGGGAGCGAAAUAAUAGUAGCGAAGUUCCUGAUGUCACACUGCCAAGAAAAGCUUCUAGU